UACGUAGGGUGCGAGCGUUAAUCGGAAUACUGGGCGUAAAGCGUGCGCAGGCGGCUUUGCAAGACAGAUGUGAAAUCCCCGGGCUCAACCUGGGAACUGCAUUGUGACUGCAUGGCUAGAGUACGGUAGAGGGGGAUGGAAUUCCGCGUGUAGCAGUGAAAUGCGUAGAUAUGCGGAGGAACACCGAUGGCGAAGGCAAUCCCCUGGACCUGUACUGACGCUCAUGCAC
RNAcentral lists this ribosomal RNA (229 nucleotides) under uncultured bacterium. Its description in RNAcentral is "partial 16S ribosomal RNA". It matches the Rfam family "Bacterial small subunit ribosomal RNA", at positions 524 to 754 of the family's 1533-position model. The record is from RNAcentral.